GUUCCAUGCGAGGAGCGCUCCGCAAACAGACACUGCAGUUGUAGAAAAACCUGUAAAGGAUCGACGUUUGGGUACGGCUUACUGGACCGGAAGUCGUGCACCUGUCACUGCAUAAUUGGCAUGGGGGAGAAUUGUGACGAGGAGUGUGACAACCCCCGGAGCAAUGACGUCAUCUGGGAAACGACGACGGCUGACGGCACCGUCACGUCUGAC
This is a long non-coding RNA of Priapulus caudatus, 213 nucleotides long. RefSeq lists it as uncharacterized. The transcript has 3 exons. The record is from RefSeq and is a predicted model, not a curated record. Lineage: Eukaryota; Metazoa; Priapulida; Priapulimorpha; Priapulimorphida; Priapulidae.